GAUGAAGAACGUAGCGAAAUGCGAUACGUAGUGUGAAUUGCAGAAUUCAGUGAAUCAUCGAAUCUUUGAACGCACAUUGCGCCCUUUGGUAUUCCAAAGGGCAUGCCUGUUCGAGCGUCAUUUGUACCCUCAAGCUUUGCUUGGUGUUGGGCGUCUUUGUCUCUCACGAGACUCGCCUUAAAAUGAUUGGCAGCCGACCUACUGGUUUCGGAGCGCAGCACAAUUCUUGCACUUUGAAUCAGCCUUGGUUGAGCAUCCAUCAAGACCACAUUUUCUUAACUUUUGACCUCGGAUCAGGUAGGGAUACCCGCUGAACUUAAGCAUAUCAAUAAGCGGAGGA
Molecule: unclassified non-coding RNA, 340 nt
Filed under: soil metagenome
Description: partial contains 5.8S ribosomal RNA, internal transcribed spacer 2, and large subunit ribosomal RNA
Rfam family: 5.8S ribosomal RNA (bases 1-120)
Source: RNAcentral